RNAcentral lists this ribosomal RNA (622 nucleotides) under Exophiala jeanselmei. RNAcentral's name for it is "LSU rRNA". It matches the Rfam family "Eukaryotic large subunit ribosomal RNA", at positions 36 to 668 of the family's 3401-position model. The record is from RNAcentral. Lineage: Eukaryota; Fungi; Ascomycota; Eurotiomycetes; Chaetothyriales; Herpotrichiellaceae.
UUGCAUAUCAAAAAGCGGAGGAAAAGAAACCAACAGGGAUUGCCUCAGUAACGGCGAGUGAAGCGGCAACAGCUCAAAUUUGAAAUCUGGCCUCUUCGGGGUCCGAGUUGUAAUUUGUAGAGGAUGUUUCGGGUACCGCCUCGGUCUAAAUUUCUUGGAACAGAAUGUCAGAGAGGGUGAGAAUCCCGUCUUGGACCGGCGGUAGGGCCCAUGUGAAACUCCUUCGACGAGUCGAGUUGUUUGGGAAUGCAGCUCAAAAUGGGUGGUAAAUUUCAUCUAAAGCUAAAUAUUGGCCAGAGACCGAUAGCGCACAAGUAGAGUGAUCGAAAGAUGAAAAGAACUUUGAAAAGAGAGUUAAACAGUAUGUGAAAUUGUUGAAAGGGAAGCGCUUGCAACCAGACUUGAGCGCGGCGGUUCCCCCUUCCUUCUGGUUGGGUUACUCCGCCGUGUCCAGGCCAACAUCGGUUCUGGGGGUCGGUUAAAGGCUUGGGGAAUGUAUCUACUCCUUCGGGGGUAGACUUAUAGCCCCAGGUGUCAUGCGACCUCCCGGGACCGAGGAACGCGCUUCGGCUCGGAUGUUGGCGUAAUGGUUGUCAGCGACCCGUCUUGAAACCACGGACCA